CAAUAGCGUAUAUUAAAGUUGUUGCAGUUAAAAAGCUCGUAGUUGGAUUUCUGGUCGGAAGCUCCUGUCCUCUGAUGAGCGUACAAGUGCGUCCUACCAUCCUUCUGUUAACCUUUAAGGCUUUCGCGGCUUUCUAGGGGCUCAGAUAUUUUACCUUGAGAAAAUUAGAGUGUUUCAGGCAGGCUAGCGCCGGAAUACAUUAGCAUGGAAUAAUGGAAUAUGACUUUUGCCUCUUCUGUUGGUCAUGAGGCUCGAGUAAUGAUUAAUAGGGAUAGUUGGGGGCAUUAGUACUUAACUGUCAGAGGUGAAAUUCUCGGAUUUGUUAAAGACUAACUUAUGCGAAAGCAUUUGCCAAGGAUGUUUUCAUUAA
RNAcentral lists this ribosomal RNA (370 nucleotides) under uncultured eukaryote. Its description in RNAcentral is "partial 18S ribosomal RNA". It matches the Rfam family "Eukaryotic small subunit ribosomal RNA", at positions 592 to 976 of the family's 1831-position model. The record is from RNAcentral.